RNAcentral lists this ribosomal RNA (253 nucleotides) under uncultured bacterium. RNAcentral describes it as "partial 16S ribosomal RNA". It matches the Rfam family "Bacterial small subunit ribosomal RNA", at positions 524 to 776 of the family's 1533-position model. The record is from RNAcentral.
UACGUAGGGGGCAAGCGUUGUCCGGAUUUAUUGGGCGUAAAGAGCGUGUAGGCGGUUUGGUAGGUCCGCUGUGAAAACUCGAGGCUCAACCUCGAGACGCCGGUGGAAACCAUCAGACUAGAGUCCGGAAGAGGAGAGUGGAAUUCCUGGUGUAGCGGUGAAAUGCGCAGAUAUCAGGAAGAACACCCGUGGCUAAGGCGGCUCUCUAGUACGGUACUGACGCUGAGACGCGAAAGCGUGGGGAGCAAACAGG